UACGGGGGGGGGCAAGCGUUGUUCGGAAUUCCUGGGCGUAAAGGGCUCGUAGGCGGCCAACUAAGUCAGACGUGAAAUCCCCAGGCUUAACCUGGGAACUGCGUCUGAUACUGGAUGGCUUGAAUUCGGGAGAGGGAUGCAGAAUUCCAGGUGUAGCGGUGAAAUGCGUAGAUAUCUGGAGGAAUACCGGUGGCGAAGGCGGCAUCCUGGACCGAGAUUGACGCUGAUGAGCGAAAGCUAGGGGAGCAAACGGG
RNAcentral lists this ribosomal RNA (254 nucleotides) under uncultured bacterium. RNAcentral describes it as "partial 16S ribosomal RNA". It matches the Rfam family "Bacterial small subunit ribosomal RNA", at positions 524 to 776 of the family's 1533-position model. The record is from RNAcentral.